UACAGAGGGUGCGAGCGUUGUUCGGAAUUAUUGGGCGUAAAGGGCGCGUAGGCGGCGCGGUAAGUCACCUGUGAAAUCUCCUGGCUCAACUGGGAGCUUGCAGGCGAAACUGCCGUGCUGGAGUGUGGGAGAGGUGCGUGGAAUUCCUGGUGUAGCGGUGAAAUGCGUAGAUAUCAAGAGGAACACCUGAGGUGAAGACGGGUUGCUGGGCUGACACUGACGCUGAGUGCGCGAAAGCCAGGGGAGCAAACGGG
RNAcentral lists this ribosomal RNA (254 nucleotides) under uncultured bacterium. RNAcentral describes it as "partial 16S ribosomal RNA". It matches the Rfam family "Bacterial small subunit ribosomal RNA", at positions 524 to 776 of the family's 1533-position model. The record is from RNAcentral.